Hibiscus syriacus is the source of this 158-nucleotide long non-coding RNA. RefSeq lists it as uncharacterized. The transcript is spliced from 4 exons. Lineage: Eukaryota; Viridiplantae; Streptophyta; Magnoliopsida; Malvales; Malvaceae. The record is from RefSeq and is a predicted model, not a curated record.
GUGAUUAUAUCAUCGGAUUUAACAUGUUUAUAGUGUGUUAUGAGAAAACCUAUAAUGUUUCAUGAGAUUGCACAUAAAGGCAAAUAAAAUCAAGCACAGGACGAGACAUUCAAUGUAUUUGAGACACAGAUAUUUAAUUGCAACAAAUAUACUGACAA